UUAAUUGAAACCAAGCCCGAGGUUUGUCACUGUUAAUGACAAUAUUGAGAUAAUCUCCAAUUAAA
This 65-nucleotide transfer RNA is filed under the name Dibolia rugulosa. RNAcentral describes it as "tRNA-Asn". The record is from RNAcentral. Lineage: Eukaryota; Metazoa; Arthropoda; Insecta; Coleoptera; Chrysomelidae.